This is a non-coding RNA of Podarcis muralis (Common wall lizard), 475 nucleotides long. NCBI's taxonomy places the organism in Eukaryota, Metazoa, Chordata, Lepidosauria, Squamata, Lacertidae. The record is from RefSeq and is a predicted model, not a curated record.
CUCUUCCUCACUUCUAUUCCUCUCUGCUGACCAAAGGGAGACACCCUGAUUCUGAGCCAUCAUGAAAUGGUCUAUCCUGCUAGCUGUAAUGAUCCUGGUUUGUGCUACAAGAAUUUUGGCUAACGAGGAGAGCCACAUUGAGGACCAGGCUGGCGUCCUAGAUGAUGCCAAUGUCCAGCACAUCUUGAAGCGCCAUACGUCCUCCGGUAACACCAAGGGCAGCAGCAGGAGCGCAUCGGGAGGCUCUGGAGCCAACAGUGCAGGCAGCAUGGGUGCAGAUGAGCCCAAGAUGGAUAAGGACGGAAACAGAAAUUAGGUCUGCUGCUUCAGAGAGGUAUGCAGGAAAACGUGCCAUCAUUCAGUGAAGCCACAUAAGACAAGGAGCCAGUGCAACAGAGUAGUCCUCAUUGCAGAUCUUCCUUCUUGGCACCUCAAGCCAGAAUGCAGAAUCCCAGUUUGAUCUAAAAAUCUGUUC